This 478-nucleotide ribosomal RNA is filed under the name uncultured bacterium. Its description in RNAcentral is "partial 16S ribosomal RNA". It matches the Rfam family "Bacterial small subunit ribosomal RNA", at positions 28 to 507 of the family's 1533-position model. The record is from RNAcentral.
GACGAAUGCUGGUGGCGUGCUUAACACAUGCAAGUCGAACGGGAUUUAGUAAACAGAAGCCUCGGUGGAAGAUUACUAAUGAGAGUGGCGAACGGGUGAGUAACGCGUGAGCAACCUGCCUAUGACAGUGGGAUAGCCUCGGGAAACCGGGAUUAAUACCGCAUAAAAUCGUAGAAACACAUGUUUUAACGGUCAAAGAUUUAUCGGUCAUAGAUGGGCUCGCGUCUGAUUAGCUAGUUGGUGAGAUAACAGCCCACCAAGGCGACGAUCAGUAGCCGGUCUGAGAGGAUGAACGGCCACAUUGGAACUGAGACACGGUCCAAACUCCUACGGGAGGCAGCAGUGGGGAAUAUUGCACAAUGGGGGAAACCCUGAUGCAGCGACGCCGCGUGAACGAAGAAGGUAUUCGUAUCGUAAAGUUCUGUCCUAUGGGAAGAUAAUGACAGUACCAUAGAAGAAAGCUCCGGCUAAAUACGUG